UAUCCGGAUCCUUUUUAAGCACCCUGGAUCAUUUUUUUUUUUAAUUUUUGGUAUUGUAAAUAUGUGGGCCUUUGGGAACACAGUUAAAUGAAUACAAUGUGGGGACUGCUCUAUACCUACCGAACACAGAGAGGAUAAAACGUCUCAAUUAGUAUGCAGGCUGGGGGUGGGGCGCUUAAUCGGUGGACACAGGAACUUGUGAAACAGCUUGACAAUAAGAUCUUGGAGAAAACAAAGGCAUUUGGAAGGAAAACAUUGUUUGAAUGUCAUUUCAAAGUUAAUUUAAUUAACGAAGGCAUAUCUGCUGGAGUUGGAAUGGGAUUGCCCAAGGAGAGAGAUUUUAUUUAUAUUUAGCAAUAAACCUCCGGGUGGAAAAUGCUUUAGAAAUUUACUGUGACAUGUGAAUCCAACUUCUUUUUCAUCAGACAGUCGGUCCUUGGAGCACCUGAUGAGUCACUGUCAGGCCUGGUGAAACCUAUGUUCUUGUUUAAGAACAUUUCUUACCAAUUAGGAAGUUGUGUGAUUUGGGAAUUUAAAGCCCAGAGGAUGCUCCCCAGAGAGGACUAUGGCUUCUAUUCUGGUUUUAAUGCCAACCUCUGACUCACUGCCCUGUCCCAAAGUGCCUGAAUGAAACUUGCCUGAAAAAUCAUUAUUGAAUUAAUGAAGGUGACAAAGGUAAGAGCGGUCCUGUGGGUUCUUCAUGUCUGGUCUGUUGCCAACACGGUGUGAUCUGAGCCGGAGAGCCCCCUGUCAACCCCAAGCCAAGCUUCAGCAGCCUUCCCCCCUCCCUCCCCCAGGCCAGGCGCGCUCAAAUGCCACAACACAAAGCACAGGCUCAAACUCCUCUCUCUUUCUGUCCCGCCUGUGCUCACGGAGAGCAAAGUUGGUGGGUUUUAUUUAUCUGUUUAGUCAAGCAAGCGGUAACGUCCCACGCCAGUUCUUCAGCUUUUCAAAAUCAGAUUUUGGAAACAAAUGCUUUUCCAAAUAGAAGAUAAAAAUGGACCCAGCAGUUUUGUUGUUGUUAAUCACUCUAGCUGUGGAUACUUUCCUGGUUAUCCAACAAACAUGUUAAAUUCAAUGGGGGGAAGAAAUUUGUCUAUGCCUUCAAAUAGUUUAUAAUCUAGUUGGUCUGGUCAGGGUGUGAUUGUCACGGUAGGUUAUGGGAGGCAGGAUCUAAUAAAUGUCCUUGGGGAAGAACAAACAAAAUGUGAGGGGAAUUCAGUCAAGAAAGGAAUUGAACCAUGUUGUGGGAUUAGGAAAAUGAAAGAAAAAUUCCAUUGUGCAUAAAAUACAUCUCAUCUACUUACAUGUUAUCCUGGAUUUUUUUUAGGGUACUAUUUUUUUUUAACUUUUAUCCCACCUCUGAUAUUCAUUCUGCCCUUGUGCCUUAUAUCUUUUCCUUUCAUUUGUUAGCUUCUUUCUUCCCCAGUGGUUUUGCCUGCUAAAAAUAGAUGAACAAUUGGUCUGAAGCUGCAAGGGAGCCAAGAUGAUGCAAAGGCUGUAGAAAAUCUAUGCCAUGGACCAUGAGCUGUGAGCUGACCUAGAUGCAAGAUGACCUAGGACAACAAAAUGUCUAAAUCAUUGUUCCAAGGACACGGCAAUAAACAUAUUUUCCAAAUGUGUUGGAGUAUGAGGUCAGAAAAGAAUUUUGGACUUGUGAACUUAUUAAAUAAAAAUUCUCAUUGAGAAGUAAACAUUAAAUCACAUUGUGCAUGCAUAUUCCGAAACUGUUAUUGAAAGCAAUGAAACAACCCAAAAUUAAGAUGAUCAAAGAAAAUCUUGGGCUUUGGGCAUUAUUUCUUCAUUGAUGAAACCGUAAAACAAAUGUAUAGGAAGCCCCUGUGGUGCUGCCCGCCUGCUACCCCAGCCCCAGGUCAUCAUUAUCCACUGUUGUCUACUCCUGCACACAGUCCUUCCUGCCUAACAAGUGUGAGGAGAGUAUGACCUGAGCCUUUCAGAUGUUUCAGCUGUUCUUCACCUCCACAUCUUAGCCUCAGUGAGCUCUUCUUGUGUGAUGGUUGGUUAAUUCUCAUCAUAACUGUAGGGAAGGAAAAUAAUCUUUCUCUAUCCCCUUAGGUUUGUACCUGGGACCUGCAAAUUAAAUUCACAAAGACAAGUUAACAGGAGGAAAAACAAACAAUAUUAAUUGACGUUAAUUUUUUUUUUUUACAGGUGCACAGGGACUUCACAGAAAAGAAAUGAAAACCCAAAGAAGUAGUUAGACCCGGGGGCUUACAUGCCAUUUUAACAAAGGACAAUAAAUUGUCAAGAAGUGACUAGACAAGAGAAAGGGGCUUUGGGCUUCUUGGAGCUGAUAAAUUAUGGGAAGGGCCCCUUUGGAUGCCACCCUGAGUCUGAGCCGCGUCCUCUCCAGACCUGGGUGUCAUUUGGUGCAAUGAAAACGGACACAUGCUUUGGGGCUGACGAAUGUGGUUUUCAAUGUGGGCUCUGCCAUCUAGCAGCUGGGAACUCUGGCAACACUGUAAGAUCUGCUCUUGGAUCUUGACAAAACUUCUAGUCCUCAGGCCAGAGUCGAGCACAGAAAGCUUGGAAUGGAGAUCUGUUAAUUUAUUGAUUGUUCUGACUGUGCUCAGAAGAAACACCACAAGCCCUCCCAUCUCUCCACCCUGCACUCCCCAGCCUCUGUUCCAUCUGUGCUCUUCACGUUGUUGCAAACACUACCUGCUCUACCACACUACCACUGCUGCCGGCUCCUCUGGCCACCGUUUCCUGCUCCUUUUAUGUGGUUUUGAUGUUUGCUGCUGGUACCCAGGGCUGCAGCUCACUUCUUUAGAAAGACCCAUCCAGAGCCUCAGCCUCUGACUAGUCUGCCCCCCACCCCCACAACUGCCCCGAGGCGUCCUCUGCUCCGUGCACAGUCCAGGAGCACCAGGCGCUUUCCAGCCCUGUCCCAAACCCGCAGAUCUCAUCUUCUCAUGUUCUUUGCGGGGAACUUCUGACCAAACUAACUGCUUCCGCCCAACUGAAACUCACAAGGGCGGUCACACUGAAAGGCGCUGAUGUGUCUAGAUGACUAUUCAGAACAGAACCCAAGCGAAAGGGUACACUUCCUGGCCUGAGGCAUAAACACCGCAUAUAUUUUUCCCUUUCGGAGGGCUAUUUUUCACGCUUGAAAUGAAGUGUGGUCAGAAUGUAUUCUCAUCUAGAAUCUUAGGUCAGUCAGGCAGAGGUUUGUCCUUCUCGUGUUUUAUACAUGUGCAUAAAAAUAGAAUAAACAAAGCCUGCUGUUCAAUACAUAUUUUACACAUAUGUCAGAGAUGCAAUUCUAGAGCAGACUGCUUUGGGGGUGUUUGUGGUUGGUUUAAGGGUCAUGAAAAACACAGAAGAAAUCCUUUCUAAAAAUGAUCAGGAUUUCCACUUGGAAGUUAUCAAGUUUGAAGAAUAAUAAACCACAGAAUGCUAAAAAUGUAGGGUGUUUUUUUUUUUCGGUCUUAUUUAUGAGGGCUCCUGUUUUUGUGCCUUCUUUCCAAUGGACAGAAGAAUUAAGAAAAAUGUUGGAGACGGGUUAAACCUCCCCUGUGGGACAGCUCUGGUAAAGGCCCUUUCCUGAAUGGGAUUCCCCAAGGCCUUGAACUGCAGAGAUGUGGGGUGUGUGUGUGUGUAUGUGUGUGUGUGUUACAUACAUAAAUGCAUGUACACAUAUACAUGCAUACACAUACACAUACAUCUGUGUAUUACAUUUAUACACAGCCAUAUCACAGCUUGACCAGGUGGUCGGCAGUGCAAAAAGAGGUGUCAGAAUUUCGACUAGAACUUUGCUUGAAUGAGGAGCAGGUCCCAUUCCACCAACAGUGGCUAUAAACUAAUCCUUUAGAAACCCGAGAGUCCCUACUUCUGGAUGUUCUGAUAGAAGGAAGGGGCCCAGAACCAACAAUUCCUAAAUAGUCAUCUCUAACUAUUUUAGCAAAAACCCCAAGGCCUUGUUCUUGAAACAUCUAUUUCCACCCUCCCCCUCUAUACUUGGGCUCAUUUUUGUAAACCCACUUUAUUCCUCUCCCAGCCCUUGCAAUUCAAAGGGGCUUUCUCUCCCUCCCCCACACUCUCUUUGGUUGAAGUGUUAACUCAUCUUCACUUGUGACAGGAUGUAUUCAAAUUAAAUGUUCA
Long non-coding RNA from Myotis lucifugus (little brown bat), 4125 nucleotides. RefSeq lists it as uncharacterized. The transcript is spliced from 4 exons. NCBI's taxonomy places the organism in Eukaryota, Metazoa, Chordata, Mammalia, Chiroptera, Vespertilionidae. The record is from RefSeq and is a predicted model, not a curated record.